RNAcentral lists this long non-coding RNA (305 nucleotides) under Coturnix japonica (Japanese quail). Its description in RNAcentral is "lncRNA (ENSCJPG00005018394.1)". Lineage: Eukaryota; Metazoa; Chordata; Aves; Galliformes; Phasianidae. The record is from RNAcentral.
AUGUUUCAGAACUUCAGAGAACUACUGGAGUUUUCAGACCUCUGUCAAGAAUAUGGGGCUAAUCUUCAGCUCUGGUGCAAGAGCACUUCGUACAGAGCCUCAAAUUUAUCAGUGGUUUUAAAGACAAUGCAAAUAGAAACAUCCUCCAUAGAAAAGCUGAGAAAUACAAUCCUAUACAGGUAAGAUGCGCUGAUGGUAGGACAUGGGCAAGGCCUUGGAAUUCCCAGCAGAAGUCACCUUGAAGACCGGGAUUGUCAGUCCAAUGCAGAGAAAUAUGGAAUAAAGCACAUCUGACAUACUUGACA